Ribosomal RNA from Drosophila sechellia, 1401 nucleotides. It matches the Rfam family "Eukaryotic large subunit ribosomal RNA", at positions 2136 to 3352 of the family's 3401-position model. Lineage: Eukaryota; Metazoa; Arthropoda; Insecta; Diptera; Drosophilidae. The record is from Rfam.
GACUGUCUAUUAAAACAAAGCAUUGUGAUGGCCCUAGCGGGUGUUGACACAAUGUGAUUUCUGCCCGGUGCUCUGAAUGUCAAAGUGAAGAAAUUCAAGUAAGCGCGGGUCAACGGCGGGAGUAACUAUGACUCUCUUAAGGUAGCCAAAUGCCUCGUCAUCAAAUUAGUGACGCGCAUGAAUGGAUUAACGAGAUUCCUACUGUCCCUAUCUACUAUCUAGCGAAACCACAGCCAAGGGAACGGGCUUGGAAUAAUUAGCGGGGAAAGAAGACCCUUUUGAGCUUGACUCUUAUCUGGCAGUGUAAGGAGACAUAAGAGGUGUAGAAUAAGUGGGAGAUAUUAGACCUCGGUUUGGUAUCGUCAAUGAAAUACCACUACUCUUAUUGUUUCCUUACUUACUUGAUUAAAUGGAACGUGUAUCAUUUCCUAGCCAUUAUACGGAUAUAUUUAUUAUAUCUUAUGGUAUUGGGUUUUGAUGCAAGCUUCUUGAUCAAAGUAUCACGAGUUUGUUAUAUAAUCGCAAACAAAUUCUUUAAUAAAACGAUGCAUUUAUGUAUUUUUGAUUUGAAAAUUUGGUAUAACUCCAAUUACUCAGGUAUGAUCCAAUUCAAGGACAUUGCCAGGUAGGGAGUUUGACUGGGGCGGUACAUCUCUCAAAUAAUAACGGAGGUGUCCCAAGGCCAGCUCAGUGCGGACAGAAACCACACAUAGAGCAAAAGGGCAAAUGCUGACUUGAUCUCGGUGUUCAGUACACACAGGGACAGCAAAAGCUCGGCCUAUCGAUCCUUUUGGUUUAAAGAGUUUUUAACAAGAGGUGUCAGAAAAGUUACCAUAGGGAUAACUGGCUUGUGGCGGCCAAGCGUUCAUAGCGACGUCGCUUUUUGAUCCUUCGAUGUCGGCUCUUCCUAUCAUUGUGAAGCAAAAUUCACCAAGCGUUGGAUUGUUCACCCAUGCAAGGGAACGUGAGCUGGGUUUAGACCGUCGUGAGACAGGUUAGUUUUACCCUACUAAUGACAAAACGUUGUUGCGACAGCAUUCCUGCGUAGUACGAGAGGAACCGCAGGUACGGACCAAUGGCACAAUACUUGUUCGAGCGAACAGUGGUAUGACGCUACGUCCGUUGGAUUAUGCCUGAACGCCUCUAAGGUCGUAUCCGUGCUGGACUGCAAUGAUAAAUAAGGGGGCAAUUUGCAUUGUAUGGCUUCUAAACCAUUUAAAGGUUAUAAUUUAUUUUAAUAAACGACAAUGGAUGUGAUGCAAUGUAAUUUGUAACAUAGUAAAUUAGGAGGAUCUUCGAUCACUGAUGCGCGCUAGUUACAUAUAAAGCAUUAUUUAAUACAUGACAAGCUAGAUCAAUUGUAAACGACUUUGUAACAGGCAGUGUGGAAGUGGUGAGCAG